GGGCGUUGAAGCAUGAUCGUAAGGACAUGUGGAGCGCUUAGAAGUGAGAAUGCCGGUGUGAGUAGUGAAAGACGGGUGAGAAUCCCGUCCACCGAUUGACUAAGGUUUCCAGAGGAAGGCUCGUCCGCUCUGGGUUAGUCGGGUCCUAAGCUGAGGCCGACAGGCGUAGGCGAUGGAUAACAGGUUGAUAUUCCUGUACCACCUAUAAUCGUUUUAAUCGAUGGGGGGACGCAGUAGGAUAGGCGAAGCGUGCGAUUGGAUUGCACGUCUAAGCAGUAAGGCUGAGUAUUAGGCAAAUCCGGUACUCGUUAAGGCUGAGCUGUGAUGGGGAGAAGACAUUGUGUCUUCGAGUCGUUGAUUUCACACUGCCGAGAAAAGCCUCUAGAUAGAAAAUAGGUGCCCGUACCGCAAACCGACACAGGUAGUCAAGAUGAGAAUUCUAAGGUGAGCGAGCGAACUCUCGUUAAGGAACUCGGCAAAAUGACCCCGUAACUUCGGGAGAAGGGGUGCUCUUUAGGGUUAACGCCCAGAAGAGCCGCAGUGAAUAGGCCCAAGCGACUGUUUAUCAAAAACACAGGUCUCUGCUAAACCGUAAGGUGAUGUAUAGGGGCUGACGCCUGCCCGGUGCUGGAAGGUUAAGAGGAGUGGUUAGCUUCUGCGAAGCUACGAAUCGAAGCCCCAGUAAACGGCGGCCGUAACUAUAACGGUCCUAAGGUAGCGAAAUUCCUUGUCGGGUAAGUUCCGACCCGCACGAAAGGCGUAACGAUUUGGGCACUGUCUCAACGAGAGACUCGGUGAAAUCAUAGUACCUGUGAAGAUGCAGGUUACCCGCGACAGGACGGAAAGACCCCGUGGAGCUUUACUGUAGCCUGAUAUUGAAAUUCGGCACAGCUUGUACAGGAUAGGUAGGAGCCUUUGAAACGUGAGCGCUAGCUUACGUGGAGGCGCUGGUGGGAUACUACCCUAGCUGUGUUGGCUUUCUAACCCGCACCACUUAUCGUGGUGGGAGACAGUGUCAGGCGGGCAGUUUGACUGGGGCGGUCGCCUCCUAAAAGG
Molecule: ribosomal RNA, 1056 nt
Filed under: Staphylococcus aureus
Lineage: Bacteria; Bacillati; Bacillota; Bacilli; Caryophanales; Staphylococcaceae
Description: partial 23S ribosomal RNA
Rfam family: Bacterial large subunit ribosomal RNA
Source: RNAcentral